RNAcentral lists this small nuclear RNA (21 nucleotides) under Arabidopsis thaliana (thale cress). RNAcentral describes it as "snRNA_01929". Lineage: Eukaryota; Viridiplantae; Streptophyta; Magnoliopsida; Brassicales; Brassicaceae. The record is from RNAcentral.
GUUGGUUGUGCAAUGAAUGAU